UAGAGGUAUGGACUGCGUACAUCUUACCCCCCCGGACCCCACUAGGUGGGAAUACACUGGGUUUGUUGUUGAUACUGGGGAUGUUGUUGUUGUAGUUAUUCUUUUGCUUAAUUAUUCAACGUGCAAUGGAAACAAUACAUUAACCAACUGAUGCUUCAUUUAUAAGAAAAACUAACCUGGAAUUAGCCAAAAGGUAGGGGUGGAUAUUUGAUUUCUGUUCAUUUUUAAGUAUCAUUUACAACAUUCAUCAUUUGUCUGGAUGUCAUUUGGCUACCAUUGCAAAAUGCCGUUAUAGAGAACAUAUAAUAUAACAUACAAACUUGUUUCAUAGAAAACUUGGUCGUUAUAGUGAAAUGUUGUUACAGAGGAUGACUUUGGUCUUACUGUGUCUAAUUUCUUGACAAUGUAACAGAACCACUGAGCCCUAACAUCGACUUGUCAAAUAAGACUUCUUCCCCUGCUGAAGCUGCUGCUACUACUAAAAAGGCUUUCGUUCAAUCUCAUUUUGAAUGCACUAUUAGACAAUAUUGCUUUUUAAGGGUACCUUGAAUGUGCCUAAACAAUUUGCAAUUGCAAAUGGUCUCACCAACAAGAAGUGUGGGUUGAUUGUAAGAGAUGGAAGACAAAGGUCGUGGAAUUUAAAGCUAAGUUCCAGUAGUACUCAAUCCUAUAUUGGUGAUGAAUUUCAUAAAUUCAUUGCUGAAAAUUGUUUAAAGGAGGGAGAUAUAUUAUGUUUGAGGUAUCACUAAUGGAGAGACACCAAUAUGGAAAUUUAAAGUUGUUACUGUUGGAGAGACACCGGUUAGGAAGUUUCAAGGCAAGUUUCUCAUCUUAUAACCAGCCUCCUGUUUUUUGGUGAUCUUUUUUAUCGUCGCUAUAUUAGAAUCUUUCCUUAUAUCAAGGAGAUUGAACAGUUUACAUAUAAUUAAUAACAUCCGGUUUUAUCCUAUUUGCACAUUGCUUAUAAUUUUCACCGUAAGGAAUUCUAUUAAACCCCCUUGCUUUAACCUUUAUCUACCCCUGCUAGGAAUGAUUUAUAUUAAGCAUAGUCACAAAUGAAGAAAAUAAAUUUACGCGUUCUGUUCCUCUAGAGAUGGUGUUACUGAAAUGUUAUGUAAAAAUGUACUUUUUAGUUGCUUCUUGUUAUAACUAGAGUACUUCAUCUUAACUGGCUUUAAAUCAAAGUCUAAUGAAAGUUCAGUUUGUUGUGUAUGUAUUCAUUCAAGUUUAUAGAUUGAAAUAUGUGAACGCCAGUUUCGGUCCUCAACUUUCAUUUUUCUGUUAUUUAUGGAAAUUGUUCUUUUGAUUAAUUAUGCGAUCUGUAAUGGAAAUAAUACAUUAACCAAAUGAUACUUACUUUAUAAGAGAAACUAAUAUGGAAUUAGUUAAAUUCUGUUCAUCCUUAAUAGACAGGUUUGUAGUCUCCGCAGAGUGGAGUGAUACUUUCAAUGCUAUAAAACAAUUAGCCAUGCCUAGAGUUGUAUCAAACCACAGACCUUUGGUUCUGGAAAGAGGUGAUUGAGACACUAAUUCCUCCUAUUUCAAGUAAGAAAUAAUGUGGCUAAUAACAGAAGGUUUCUCUGCAAUGGUUAGAGCUUGGUGGCAGAAGUACAAUAUUGGUGGUAGUCCAGAUUUUGUCCUAUCUCAAAAGCUUAGAAAUCUAAAGAAAGACAUUACUAGCUGGAACAGAGAGACCUUUGGAAGACUAGAAACUCAGAUGGAAAGGAUGUUGGAGGAAUUAACUAUCCUUGAGCAAGCUACUGAAGGCAGGCAUAUGUCACAGGGGAAAAAGGAGAGCACAAUCCAUCUAAAGCUAAAACCGAAGGAAUCAGCAGAGAGUGAAAAGGUAUCUUGGUGGCAGAAAUGAAGAUGUUUGUGGCUUAAGUUAGGAGAUAGGAACACCAAACUUUUACAAAGAGUAGUCAAUUCUCACAGGAGAAGCAAUCAAAUUGAUAAGCUGUUGAUUAAUGGGAAUUUGUGAAGACGAAGGAGAAAUCAAAAGUUAGAUCUUGAGAUUUUACCAAGCUUUGUACAGGGAGGAUGAACAGUGAGGCCCAAAGCAAGCUUUGAGAAUCUCAACAUCAUCACUCGAGAAGAGAAAAUUUGGAUAGAAAAGAACUUUGAAGAAGAAGAGGUGAGAGCAUUUAGCAGCCAUUAAUUCUUGUGCUCCUGACAAGAGUUCAGGGCCUGAUGGAUACACAAUGGCCUUCUAUCUAAGCACAUGGGAUGUCACCAAGUAUGAUAGUAUGGGAGCUCUCAACCAUUUUCAUUGGCACUGCUGCAUGGUCAAAUCCGAUAAUACGCCCUCAUUUAUAGCUCUUAUACCAAAAAGAAAGGGAGCAUUGCACGUUGGAGACUUCAGGCCUAUAACUCUCAUAGGAAGCCUCUAUAAGAUGCUAGCCCAAAUUUUAGCUGAGACUCAAAACAGUGAUUUGGAAACUGGUUUAUGGCUAGCAAAAUGCCUAUCUUAAGAACAGGUAGAUCACUAAUGCUUCUUUGAUUGCAAAUGAAAUGCUAGGUGGAAGACAGAAAUUAGGAACUCCUUGAAUUUUAUGCAAGCUAGAUGUGGAGAAAGCUUUUACAAAGUAAGCUGGCCCUACUUGCUAGAUAUGCUAAAGCAAAUGAGUUUUGGAGGUUGAUGGAUCAAAUACAGUCUCUAAGCUGUAAAAUACUCCAUCCUGGGGAACAAGAGGCCAGUUCGCCUUUACUCCCCUCAAAAAGGAAUAAGACAAGAGGACCUUCUUUCCCCUUUCUUAUUUGUUUUAGUCAUGGAAGGUUUGAACAAGAUGUUCGAUAGAGCGAAAGCAAAUCACUGGAUUGAGGACUUCAAGGUAGAAAGUUGCCCAAACAAUUCUAUUUCAAUCUCCCACUUAUUAUAAUAUGAUAUUAUCCUAAUCUUUUGUGGGGCAGAGACACUCCAAGUUCUUUAUCUCAAUCUAACCCUCAUGCAAUUUGAAGUUGUUUCUGGAAUGCAUAUUAACAUGAUGAGGAGCAAGAUCUACCCUGUCAAUGAAAUCUCAAACUUGAAUACUCUGAUAGGGAUUCUGGGGUGCGACACAUUCUCCUUCCCCUCUACUUAUUUGGGCCUCCUUUUGGGUUCAAAAUACAAAGCACCUGAGAUAUGGAUGGAGUGGUGGAGAAGGUGGAAAAGAUAUUGACAAACUGGAAAAUGCAAUAUCUAUGUAUGGGAAAACUGACUCUAAUCAAUACUAUAUUGGACGAUAUUCCUACCUACCUCAUGUCCCUUGUUCCAAUGCCAUAUGAGGUGAAAGAGCAAUUGGAUGGUCUAAGAAGGGCUUUCCUAUGGGAAGAAAUAGUGAAGGACAUAAAUUUCAUCUUGUGAAUUAGGAUAAGGUCAUAUUGCCAAAGGAACAGAGAGGUCUGGGUGUUAGAGAUCCAGCAAACAGAAGAAAAGCCUUCUUCUAAAAUGGUGGUGGAGGCAUGGCCAAGGAACCACUCACCUAUGGAAGGAAGUGAUGAAUGUAGAAUAUGGUAAACUGGAUGAUUGAUGCACCAAACGGAAUUACACUUCCUCAUGAUGUUGGCCCUUGGAAGCAUAUCGAUGAUUUUCAGGAUGACUUCUUCAAAGAAAUGUCCUUUAAGGUUGGAAAUGGCUCUAAGGUUUAGUUUGGGAAAGAUAAGUGGGUAAUCAAUCAUCCCCUCAAAGACUCUCAUCACAGGAUUUUCCUUUUAGCUGAAGAACUAAACUCCUUUGCAGCUGAUAAUAGCAAUGGCAACACAUGUGAUAUUCAUCUAAGAAGAAACUUACAAGAUUGGGAAUUGGAGGAACUUACUGAUCUAUAAAGGUUGCUGACAGACUACUCAAUCCCAUCUUUCAGACAACUUAAGGCUUUUCAUAGUGAAAGCAGGCUAUAAUCACCUGAAUGCAGCAGAGGAGUGACAAGACCUUGGCCCUGGAAGUUGGUUUGGAAUACAAAAUUACCCCCAAAGUUUAAUGUUUUACUUGGACAACCCUUCAUAAUGAAAACCUAAGGAAGAGAGACAUUCUAGUGGUGCAGAGGUGUUUUGUGCGCCAAAACAACUUAGAACCUAUAAACUGUUUGCUAUUGCACUGCCCUGUGGCCGCUGGUCUUUGGACUAUGUUUUUGGCUAUUUCUGGAAUUAGUUUAUGACCUUCCUCAACCUAAAGCAAGCAGUUGAAAGCUGGAGUUUAUCGAAAGUGAAUAAGACCGUUUAUGGAAUGAAAGGAACUAAAGAUGUUUUAAUGGGACUGCAACUCCUAACUGCUCUCUUAGGUCAAAUGUUUGAUGACCCUUUAUAGCUGGAGCAAUCCUUCCCCCGUAAAUGAUAUCAUCCCCCCUUUGAUUUUAUCAGUUAUACUUGCUUCUUUUUGCAGUAUUUGGAGUUAUAACCAUUUGUUUUAUAAUUUUUCAUGCCUUUUCAAUACAACAACUUCAUUAAAAAAACAAAUUAUGUUAAUCCUUUUAAGUAUCAUUUGUUAUUCGGUUAACCUCUCUGAAACAACAUUGUUUGUCUGGAUACUUUUUUCGUAAUAUUAUUAUAGAGAACAUAUAAUAUAACAUAACAUAAAAAUAUGGUUUCAUAGAAAACUUGGUAGUUUAGGCAAAAUGUUGUCACAUAGGAUGACUGUGGUCUGAUUGUAUUUACUUUCUUGAUAAUGUAACAGAAAAACUGAGCCCCGACAUCGACUUGCCAAAUAAGAUUUCUUCCCAUGAAGAAGCUGCUACUAACAAGCCUUUUGUUCGAUCUCAUUUUGAAUGCACUGUUACACAAAAAAUGUUUUCAAGAGGUCGCUUGUUAAGUUUCAAGACUCAUUGCACUAAAGGAAGCAUGUGUGCCAUGUUCUUAUAGUUUAAUAAGUUUUCUAUACUCCAAUAGUGUAAAUCUUUUGUUUUACCCAAUAUUACUUGUUAUGUAACUUUUUUUUGUAUAACCAUGAUGUUCGGACCAGCUUGCACAACUUAUUAUGCAAUUGUAAGUAAAUUUCUACGGUGAGCAUUAAUUGGUAGCCCAAAGAAUGGUAAACCUGCAAUCUCAUAAUGUAAAAAAAUCUUUACAUCGCCAAUCUUAGGCUAAAGCAAUAUCUUAUGCAUCUUUUGUGCAAGUAAUAUUGAAUAAUUGUUAAUUUGAGUCGAUUGGGGUUCUAAUGCUUUUGAUUGGACGUCAGGGGCAGAGGUAUAAGCCCGGGUAAGGGUUCGGCCUAACCCAAUAUUUUUGCUUUAACAAUAUAUUUGUGUUAAGAAAUUCAUCAAAUACGGACACUUAUUAAACUUAGAACCCACUUAUUAGCACUUGAAAUAGUAGUUCUAAAAUCUGGAAUCCAUAUAGUUUCAAUCCUAGCUCCGCCGAUGUCUUUGCCACUUGUCACUGGCUAACGGAACCAUUGCACAAUUUUAUUUUUAUUUUCUUUUUUUCAUUGGUGUUAUAAAUUCGGUGAAAGUUUGAAGAACGUGAACUUUUUAAUGACGUGUUCUAAUGUUUAUACACAUAUAUACACUAUGUCAGUAUGUACCUCAACAAUUUGCAAUUGCAAAUGGGCUCACCAACAAGAAGUGCGGGUUGAUUGUAAGAGAUGAUAGACUAAGAUUGUGGAAUUUAAAUCUAAGUUUUGGCGGUACUCUAGUUCAAACCUACAUUGGAUAUGGAUUGCGUAAGCUCAUCGCUGAAAAUUGUACAAAGGAGGGUGAUCGUAUUAAGUUUGAGGUUGUCACUAACGGGAAGACACCAAUAUGGAAAUUUCAAGUUUUUAGUGAUGGAGAAAUUCCAAUGAAGACGUUUCAAGGCAAGUUUCUCAUCUUAUAACCGGCUUCUUAUUUUUUUUGAUGAUUUUCUUUUAUUAUCGCUAUAUCAUAAUCGUUUCUUGUGUCAAGAAGAUUCAACAGUAACAUAAUAAAAACAGAUUCAUUUUUAUCUUAUUUGCACAUUAUAAUUUUUUCAGCAAAAGAAAUUCUAUAAACCCCCUUGCUUGAACCUAGAUCUGCCCCUGCUAGCUAGAAAUGAUUUAUUAAUUAAGUUAAUAGGUCUGUAAAAUUUUUUUCAUGAAAUUAAAUAAUAUUUCAUACGAACAUUUUAAAUCAUACAAAGCAUAGUUACAAAUUUAGAAAAUAAGUUUUACACUUUCUGUUUCCUCUAGAGAUGGUGUAAUCAAAGUGUUAUAGAGAAGUGUCAUUUUCUUGAUUAAAUUGCGCAACUUCUAAUGGAAAAUGAUACAUAAGCCAAAUGAUGCUGAUUUUAUAAGAAAAACUGAUGUUGGAUUAGUCAAAAGGUGGGGAUGGAUUUUAAAUUCUGCUAAUAUUUUCAUGUAUCAUUUGUCAUACUUAGUUUCUUGAAAAUGUAACAGAAAGACCGAGCCCCAGCAUCUAGUUGUCAAAUGAGACUUCUUCCCAUGCAGAAGCUGCUACUAACAAGCCUUUUCCUCAAUCUCAUUUUGAAUGCACUAUUAGCGAAUACUGUCUUUCAAGAGGCCUCUUGGCAAGUCUCAAGGCUCAUUAAACUUAUUGAGAAGUGUUUAUUGCUUUAAUGUAUUGUAUUUGUUACUUGUAGCCGAGUUAUUUCAUUAGUUAGUUAGUUAGCACAAGCGAAGUUGGCUCUGCCAGCUGUUAUUUUGUUAGCAGUUCGUUUAUAAUCUACUUGAUUACAACAAAUAGAGGUUGAUCUUUCAUUUUCAUUUCACAAAUAUAACAUUAUUCCUUCUGUGUCUCUCGAACUCCAUCUCUGUAGUCUGUAGAACUCUCCAGAAGUCAACAUAGGAGCUCAUCUCAGAGCUCAGUUUAUCAUGCUGAACUUUGGCAUGGCAUCAGAGCCUUGGUCUAUCUCGAAGACCUACGUUCUUUUGCGUCAGCAAUUGGUCGCAUUUGAUUAUCGAGUUUAGGCAUGCAAUUACAGAUUUAUGUGAGUUUCUGUAAUUGAAGAUCGAUUUCUCAUUUCCACUUCAGUUUCUGAAUUUUUCCUUGGAAAUCAUCAAUUGAUUGAGUAUCUCCGUGACUGUUACUGACAAGGAGGUUCGGUCUGCCAUUGACUCGACUAGCCCUUUGUACAUGCAUCCGUCAGAUAAUCCAGGUGCAAUUCUUGUACCAGCUCCCUUUAAUGGAAUUGGAUAUAGAUAUUGGAGAAGAGACGCAUUAUGAUCUCUUACAGUGAAGAAUAAACUUGGAUUCGUCAAUGGAGAAUGCAAAACGGCAGAUUUGAAGUCUCCAUACUAUCAUUUGUGGGAGACCUGUGAUGAUAAGGUUACACCGUGGAUUUUGAACAUGCAGCUGAGUUGUGGAAUGAAUUGGAGGAUCGUAUGAUCAGAUUAAUGGGACAAAACUGUCAGAUUCAGAAGGUAAUUAAUGACCUAUCACAAGGGACCUUAGACACCAGCUACUAAACCAGAAUGAAGAAACUCUGGGAAAAACUGAACACUUUUGAGUGCUAAAACUCAGUGCAACUGCCAAGGAAAACAUCCAUAAAGCAGAACAUGACAGGAGGUUAAUCCAGUUUUGAUGGUAUUAAACGAAGUGUACACUGCAGUUAGGGAAAAUAUUCUGAUGAUGAAUCCCGUACGCAAAAGCUUUUUCUCUCUUGAUUCAUGAUGAAAAACAAAGACAAAUCAGGCUCAGUUCUCAGAACAAAAAUUUCAUGUACGAUAUAGGUAUUCCUAAUUGGAAGGGGAGAGGAAAGUCGCAAAUGUAAAUGGAACUCCUACAAAUAUGCGGUCAAUUAUUCUGUACAAAGUUCUCUUUGUUCCUUCUAUUAAUCAGAAUCUUAUUUCUGUACAUUGUUCGACCCUAAACCUUUAAGGCACUACCUUCUUUUC
Capsicum annuum is the source of this 7780-nucleotide long non-coding RNA. RefSeq lists it as uncharacterized. Lineage: Eukaryota; Viridiplantae; Streptophyta; Magnoliopsida; Solanales; Solanaceae. The transcript is spliced from 2 exons. The record is from RefSeq and is a predicted model, not a curated record.